ACACUUGGCCCCCGGGGGCGGGGAGGGGCAAGGGCUUGAGGAGGCAGGUAGGUAGGUAGGUGGGAAGAAGACUGCGCAGGGGCAGGUGUGCAGGGACCUUCCAGGGGGAGGGGAGCGCGGGGCAGGUGUGGCCACAAGCUGGUCUGCGCGCGCCAUCUAGUGGGCGCCCCGGGGACGGUCCGUUUGGGCAGGAGCCGCAGGAGCCAAUCAGAAUCGCCGUCUUGCUGGUUGUGAAAUUAAGGCCCUUUGGGGAGAGGUGUGCAGGGCUCCGCGCUAAGCUAUGCAAAAAAAAAAAAAAAAAAAAAAAAAGGAGGGGGGAGUGCAUUGCCACGUUUCCUGCGCGUUUCCCUCUGGGGUGCGCGGGGAGGGCAGGGGCCUAAGGAUUCUUUACAGCCGCCUCUAAUCCAACUGGUCAGUGACCCUGGCCCCCUGGUUACAGAGUACUCUCAAAGUCACCACUACUCUUAAGGGUCCCCCCUUUAAGGGCACUGGUAUGCUGAAGAGAAGUGGCGGUUGACGUUCACUAGACCCAUGUCAUGGGACAAACAGUGGGCAUAUAUUGUUGUCUCAUUUCACCCACAAGGGAGCCCAGAAUUACAUCAUUAUAGAGAAAGAUCUAGGUUCCCCUGGGCAUAGGAAUGCAUCUUAUGUCUCUGGGUUUCAAAUGGGUGUGGGAGCUGGUGGAGAGAAAGGGUCUUAGCCAGCACCCCCCAACUGUGGAAAGAGGCUGGUCCCUCUACUGUCAGCUUGGAGGCAGCACCUUGGAGGCCGGGGGCAGGAAAUAACUUAGUUCACCUGGCAGUGCUGCUCAUGGAAGCUGUUCCUUUGCGCACCUGAGGGGGUACUCUGUGCUUCGGCCAUACCAGCGCCCGCCCAAGCGUCCACCUGCUGAAACAGAUCCAACUUCUCCGCAUCCUCACCGGCAUUUGGUGGCGUCCCUCGUUUUGGUUUCAGCCAUCCUAACAGUGAAGACCAUUCGGGAUGCAGAAGACGUGUUACUCCUCUGCCCACGUGCCCUCCUCUCAGGCCCCCCUGCUUCAGGUAAACAACCUUGGCGUCAGCUGCCUUAGAUUCCUGGGUAUCAUCUUCCUAUACAGAUGAGCAGACAAAGCGGCAAGGAGCCCCACUGUGUGAUGCCCUGCAGUUUAUCCAUUCUCCUGAGCUUGGACAGCUUGGUCACCAGCCCCCAGGACGUCCCAGUGGCUCUUUGGCAGCCCCCUCCCAUGAUCAACGGCAGAAGGGAAAAAUCGGGUGAUAAAAACCACAGUUCCAUCCUGAGCCCUCUCUUCCUUGGCUGCUGUCUCUGGGAUCACUCGCUCUGUGGAAAGCCGGCUACCAUGUUGUGAAGACACGCAGGUCUGACGGGAACCCGUGUGGUAGAGAACCGAGUCCCCGGCCAGCAGACAGCAAGGAACCGAGGCCUGUCAAUGACCAAUGAGUGAGCUUGAAGGGACCUUCCAUUCCUGGUCGAGCUUGAUACGACUGCGCCGCCCCCAUCUGACAGCUUGACCACAACGUCGUGAGAGACCCUGAACCAGACACAUCCAGCGAAGCCAUCGUGGGUACAUGCUUGACCCACACAAGCUGUGAGACAAUAAUUACUGGCUGUUUCGGGUGGCUAAGUGGUGGUAUCGCUUGUUACACGGCAACAGAUGCUCAAGGUGGGCGUCUACAUCGUUUUCAAUAAUUUGCAAGGGUGCUGGAUAGCACUGUGCACUUGUGUCCUUCAUAUCGUUGGGACAUUUUCCCCGCGAUCUAGACCCAAAGAGGACAUACAGAAUGCAGCACGUCAAGUACACGUACACACACGUUAAAAACAAACAAACAAACAAACAAACAAACACGUCACACGAUUUGAGAUCUUGGUUCUUGUCAUUGUUCAUGGCAGAAAACCCAAUGUUCAUUUCAUAAUAGAGAGAAACUAUAAAUCCCAAUGCAGACCAGGAGGAAUAAACCCAAUGAAUUUUACAACGUAGGCAGCGACGUGCAUUAGCGUGCACUGGCUUUCAAGUGAGAUAAUAAGAUGUGCGGCAUUCGAAACAAUAAAGCCACUUAUUAUGUUUUGUAACAAGAAGCAUCGUGGGACUCAAGCAGGGAAGAAAUGCACGGAAUAAAGACGCGGGAUAGGAGGACAAAAUAUUAAUAGCGGUUCUUUAUAAUUUAUGCUUCCCGAUUUUUCACCAAUGAACCUUAUAUAUUUGUUUAAUUAUUAUUUUUGUUUGUUUUGAAUGUACUGCAGAUUCACAUGCAGCUGUAGGAAAUAAAGCAGAGGUACCUUAAGCUCCAUUCAUCAAGCUCCUGCCAAGGGUACCAUCUUGCAUAAAUAUAGCACAAUGUCACAACCAGGAAGCAGACAUCUAUACAACCUACUGACAGUAUUCAAAUUUGGGUAGUUUUACGUACAUCCGUUUGUGUCUUUGUGUAUUUAGGUCCAUGUAAUUUUUUUCACCCGUGAAAAUGUGUCUAAUCCCCACAAGCAAGAGUAGCUUCCUCACCGCAUGAUGUCCACCUUAAUUCCAGAGCCCAUCCUUCCAAUUGUCCCUGUGCCCCUGCCAGUCCCUAGGUCCUGGCCACCACAAAUCUGUCCUCCUUCCCUAUAAUUUUCUCCCUUCAAGAUUGUUAUAUUAAGGGGUUCAUAUAGGAUGAAAAAUUUGGGGAUCCCAUUUGGGAUUUGGGAUGUGCCAAAUGUAACCCACUCACCCACUGAAGAUAUUUGAGUUGUUUCCAAUUGUUGCCUACUACAAAUAAAACUGCUAUGAGGA
Molecule: long non-coding RNA, 2762 nt
Organism: Felis catus (domestic cat)
Lineage: Eukaryota; Metazoa; Chordata; Mammalia; Carnivora; Felidae
Exons: 4
Source: RefSeq, a predicted model, not a curated record